GGAGACUCACGGCGCUGGUGGCCGAGCGCGACUCCGGGCUCCGGAAGCUCCGCUCCGAGCUGGCCAAGUGCGACUCCACCAUCCGACUUUUCACGGUGGAACUCGGCGAGAGACACACGAAAAUCGGGGAGCUCACGGCAGAUGUCGAGUGCUGCAAUAAAAAGCUCCGGGAACACGAGG
Long non-coding RNA from Empidonax traillii (willow flycatcher), 180 nucleotides. RefSeq lists it as uncharacterized. Lineage: Eukaryota; Metazoa; Chordata; Aves; Passeriformes; Tyrannidae. The transcript has 9 exons. The record is from RefSeq and is a predicted model, not a curated record.